UUCUCCAUAAUUCCAACUUAUGAUUAACUCAACAUUAGUUUUAUCUUUUAAAACUAUAUCAUUCAUAAAUAGCAUGUAUUAAUGAAUAUUGUCUUGAAUAUGCCUAGCAAGCUUGUCCAUAACUAGCGUAAAAAGGUAAGAACUUAAAGUAGGCUCUUAGCGUAGACAUUCAUUAUUGGAAAUUGACUAGUAUUACUACCAGUAGUUCUUACACUACUAAUUACUUCAUUAACAUGUUCUUGAUCUUAU
RNAcentral lists this long non-coding RNA (249 nucleotides) under Phoenix dactylifera (date palm). RNAcentral's name for it is "long non-coding RNA (PDAC_LNC013399)". The record is from RNAcentral. Lineage: Eukaryota; Viridiplantae; Streptophyta; Magnoliopsida; Arecales; Arecaceae.